CAUAACGAAAAUGUUGGUUAAAAAAAUGUAUAAUUAAUCAUGAUUAUAAUAAACAAUUUUUCUGAAAAGAAAUAUUCUAUAGUUUGUGCAUUGGAAGGUCUUUUUUUUGAUUUUCCAAGCGGUUUUCAAAUAAUUGGGAAAAUCUUAAAAGAAAGUUAUAGGUAAAACAGCAAAUAUUUACGGCUCAUUUCAUCAUUGACGAUUUUAUUGUUUAUAUAAUUUUUGUAAUAUAUGGUUUUUAACAGAAAUAUUGCUAAUUGCUGUAUACUUAUCUAAUAUUAAUACCUAUAGAAAUCAUGCUACACAUGAACGUACAUUACUUAUCUGUUUACACUGGGAACAUUUUUUGUCUGAUUCAUAUCUUUGUCACGUUCUAUGUUAUCAGUUAUCACCUAAGUUAAGGUUGUAGGAGAGUAGUAAUUGUGCAUUAUUAACCGUCGACCGCCCUAAACCCACUCAAGUGAUACUCCAUUACUUAACUCCAACCCAAUAUUAAAAGUGGAAUAUCUCGUAAACGGUAAACUAAAUGUGAAUAAUCAAUUUGCAAAGAUAUAAUAAAGUAAUACAUUUUCAGAAUCCAAAUUGGAAAUGAUUAAUUUAUACUAUUUCCUCUUGACUGCAACAUUAUACUUAAAGCGGGCAGGUUUUAUUGCCCGAAAAACUGCCCAGUGCAGUCGAAUCAUG
Molecule: non-coding RNA, 684 nt
Organism: Cinara cedri
Lineage: Eukaryota; Metazoa; Arthropoda; Insecta; Hemiptera; Aphididae
Source: the annotation of a GenBank genome assembly